UGCCGAGUCGCCAAGUCGGUAAGGCACCUGGCUCUGGACCAGGCAUUCGUGGGUUCGAGUCCUACCUCGGCAGCCA
This 76-nucleotide transfer RNA is filed under the name Fervidicella metallireducens AeB. RNAcentral describes it as "tRNA-Gln". It matches the Rfam family "tRNA". Rfam says of the family: Transfer RNA (tRNA) molecules are approximately 80 nucleotides in length. Their secondary structure includes four short double-helical elements and three loops (D, anti-codon, and T loops). The record is from RNAcentral. RNAcentral also lists the same sequence under 1 other name. Lineage: Bacteria; Bacillati; Bacillota; Clostridia; Eubacteriales; Clostridiaceae.